AUCUAACUGAAUAGUUCAAAAUAGGACGAAACACGCAUCGUGGAU
Molecule: non-coding RNA, 45 nt
Filed under: Schistosoma haematobium
Lineage: Eukaryota; Metazoa; Platyhelminthes; Trematoda; Strigeidida; Schistosomatidae
Source: RNAcentral